Molecule: RNA transcript, 2579 nt
Organism: Tribolium madens (black flour beetle)
Lineage: Eukaryota; Metazoa; Arthropoda; Insecta; Coleoptera; Tenebrionidae
Gene name: palmitoyltransferase app
Exons: 10
Source: RefSeq, a predicted model, not a curated record
CUGUCAAGAGAUGUCAAAGUAUUUUGAUUAGAUUAGAGCGAGUUUUUUACUUUUUCCGCUAAUUGUUUCGAAGUAAACCGUGAGAUAAAAUUUAAUAAUGUCCCGUGAAACGAUUUCUCGAUCCCCCCGAGUGUCGUUCAUCCACUACGACAGAGAUUACACGUAAAAUAAUGAGUUAAGGCCACCGCGAGACUUCGUUUAGUUUGUAGGCUCAUUUUAUUUUGUUUUGGUCAUUUCCUGUAUUUAUGACAUUGAAUUUGGAGUAUCAUUUAGUCGACUUAAACCCACAAGAAAUGGCAAGAGACAGAAUUACGAAAAAGUGGGAAGUCUUCGCGGGCCGCAACCGAUUUUACUGCGAUGGCAGGCUGAUGACGGCCCCAAACGGGGGCGUAUUCCUUUUGACAGUAUUUCUUAUCACGGGAACUUGCACCCUGUUUUUUAUCUAUGACUGCCAUUACUUGGCGGAAAACGUAACAAUCGCGAUUCCUAUCAUUGGUGGCUUGCUAUUUAUAUUUACGAUGUCUUCCUUGUUGCGCACCAGCCUUUCAGAUCCAGGUAUUAUUCCAAGAGCGACACCAGAAGAAGCUGCCUAUGUCGAAAAACAAAUCGAAGUCACAAAUUCGGCAAACAGCCCCACUUACAGGCCCCCACCUCGUACGAAAGAGGUCCUAAUCAAAGGGCACACAGUCAAAUUAAAAUAUUGCUUCACUUGUAAAAUAUUUAGGCCGCCGAGGGCCUCACAUUGCAGUCUUUGCGAUAAUUGUGUUGAUAGAUUUGACCAUCACUGCCCUUGGGUCGGAAAUUGUGUCGGUAGACGAAAUUAUCGUUUUUUCUACAUGUUUAUAGUAUCGUUAGCUUUUUUGGCCGUAUUUAUAUUUGCUUGUGCCAUAGCUCAUUUAAUAUUAAUUACUAAAACUGAGGGUCAAUUUCUUGACGCCGUAAAACAAUCACCACCAAGUGUCAUAGUAGCAACAAUUUGUUUUUUUAGUGUUUGGAGUAUUUUAGGACUUGCAGGCUUCCAUACUUAUCUGACGACAAGUAACCAAACAACAAAUGAAGAUAUUAAAGGUUCAUUUACUAGUAAGCGCGGACAAGAAAAUAUGAAUCCUUACUCACAAGGAAAUGUCUGUUUGAAUUGUUUUUAUAUACUAUGUGGCCCAGUAACUCCAUCGCUACUCGACAGGCGAGGGAUCGUUACUGAUGACUAUCGAGCCGAAAUAUCACGAAACGUCAUGCCAGAAAUAAAUCAACCGAUGAAAAACUUUGGAAUUCCUAUACAAAACGGUCCGAGUCAGAUGACUCUAAACGCGUCGGAAAUGCCCGGAAUUUACCGACAGACGACGGAAACAACCGGUAUGUACAGUCCGCUAAAAAAACAUCUCUACCGCGCCCAACACAUGAUACCGUCCAAGAAUUGUGCCAGUCAGAAAAUCAUACCAUCCCAUGCCCCCUUGUUACCCCCUUAUGACUAUACUCCGUCACGUAAACCUCCCGAUCCUCCACUGGAGGUAUUCAAGAACAGUCGUUCACUUCCGCAAUUGAAAUCGCCUCCUGAAAAUGGGGGCUAUUAUCCAAAUUUGAGACCCUAUACACCGCCCGAAAAACGCUACAAUGCGAAUUUCGGCCGGCAGGGGGUCAAGCCAAGGCCGAGGAGUUGCGUGUAUGAGAAUGUUCACGUUCAGGAGGAGUUUUGCAUGAAUCGGGUUAAAAACGAUAAAGUUAGUUUGACACCAAAAGUUAAGAAUUUUCCGACUCCAGAGUUUAGUCGGAUGUAUAUUCAGGAGGGUUUUCAAGGGGGUAGUUGAGUGCGUUUUGGGGAAAGGGGCGUUGAGACGAAAAUAGAGGUCGGGGGUUUUUAAACCAUUUGGUUUUUCGAAAUUGUUUAUUUUAGAACGGAAUAAGAGUCAAAAUUGUUAAAAACCAUCAAUCAUAUUGACAGUGACGUCUUGUGCCAUGAUAUUUUUUUUUUAAUAUAUAAGCAAUAAAUUUAGCGCUUCCUGUAGUGUUGAUUGAAGUCAAGACACCAAUUUGACCCUUGACCUUUGCGACUUUUAAAAACGCACCCUUUGUAAGUCUCGACUUGCAGCAGUUGUGAUUAAAUAUCACUCCAUUUAAAAUUAGAAUUUUGAUCUUUUUAACCAUGACAUUGUGAUUAACCUCAGUGCGAUUUUAUAGGUAAUAAUAGAAAUGAAAAAUAUUUUAUUAUUAGAGUACCGUUGUAUUUAUUAAUCGUUGAAAUGAAUCAAAAGUAGUAUUCAUAAAUAAUGUGAAUUAAAUGUAAUCAAAACUCGAACAUACAACUGUGUUUUCUCGCUUUUUUAUAUCUUUUCCAACUUUUUUAUAUACCUGUUGCUUCGAGUUUUUAUUUCGUGUCUGUUAUUUAGUUUGUAAGUUUAUUUAUUGUUGCAUUGACGCGAGACGCAUUGGCGGAGGUUGUCUUAUUCGAUAGCAACGCUGGUAGUGUGACGCAUCUAGUGAGCAACGAGCAGCCCCUAGCCAUCGCUCCGGCCCUGCAAAAAUCCUCUGAGCAACAGUACGUGUCUCAGACGAGUCUGAUUCAGCCGCCGGUCUAUAGCAAU